This 1787-nucleotide long non-coding RNA is filed under the name Anas zonorhyncha (Eastern spot-billed duck). RNAcentral describes it as "lncRNA (ENSAZOG00000011499.1)". Lineage: Eukaryota; Metazoa; Chordata; Aves; Anseriformes; Anatidae. The record is from RNAcentral.
GUUGUCCUAGUGUGAGGGUCAUCCUCGUGCAAGGCUCUCGGGGAUCUCGCCCGUGAGAUUUGCACGAGGAGGGUCCUCUCGCACGAGGGUCUCGCAUGAGGGUCUCGUCUUGCACAAGGGUCUCGCACAAGGAUGGGCCCCGUGCAAGGAGCUGGCACAAGGACAAGGCUUGCAUGGAGAGCUUGCACGAGGAUCUCGCACGAGGAUCUCGCAGAGGGAUGAGGCUCGUGCAAGGAGGUGGCACGAGGAUGAGCUUUGCACAAGGGAAGCCUUGCAUGGGGAGCUUGUGUGAAGAUCUUGCACGAGGAUGAGGCUCGUGCAAGGGCCUGGCACAAGGAUGAGCCUUGAAUGAGGACAAGCCUUGAAUGAAGACCUUGCACGAGGAUCUCGCACGAGGAUCUCACAUGAGGAUGAGCCUCGUGCAAGGAGGUGGCACGAGGAUGAGCCUUGUGCAAGGCAAGCCUUGAAUGAAGACCUUACACGAGGAUCUCGCACAAGGAUGAGUCUCACACAAGGACCUUGCACGAGGACAAGCCUUGCACGAGGAUGAGCCUUGCACGAAGACCUCACAGAAGGACCUUGCACAAGGAUCUCGCACAAGGAUGACCCUCACACAAGGACCUUGCACGAGGACAAGUCUCAUGCCUGGACCCCUUGCACAAGGAAUUUGCACAAGGAUGAGCCUCGCACGAGGACCUUGCACGAGGAAGAGCUUUGCACGAGUACCUUGCACAAGAACCUUGCACAAGGACCUCAUACAAGGAUCUCGCUCGUACAAUCGUGGAGCCUUGCACAAGAAUGAGCCUUGCACGAGGACCUUGCACGAGGACCUUGCACAAGGGCCUUGCACGAGGACCUCACCCCAGAGCCUUGCACGAGGACCUCGCACGGCGGGAUUUGGGGGGUGAGGGGGCACAACACGGUACAGGAGCGGUUCAUGUUUUGGGGUGCCGUUUUGGGGUGUGUGUUUUGGGAUGCCAGUUUCAUGAUGCAGGUUUUGGGGUGCCAGUUUUGGGGUUUGUGUUUUGGGGGAGAGGUUUUGGGGUGCCGGUUUCGGGGUGCUGGUUUUGGGGUGCCAGUUUUAGGGUGAGUGUUUUGGGGUGGGUGUUUUGGGGUGCCAGUUUUGGGGAGCAUGAUUUGGGGUGCCAGUUUCGGGAUGCCAGUUUUGGGGUUCAGGUUUUGGGGUGCCAGUUUUGGGGUUUGUGUUUUGGGGUGCAUGUUUUGGGGUGCUGGUUUUGGGGUGCCAGUUUUAGGGUGAGUGUUUUGGGGUGGGUGUUUUGGGGUGCCAGUUUUGGGGAGCAUGAUUUGGGGUGCCAGUUUCGGGAUGCCAGUUUUGGGGUUCAGGUUUUGGGGUGCCAGUUUUGGGGGUUGUGUUUUGGGGUUUGUGUUUUGGGGUGCCGGUUUCGGGGUGCCGUUUUCGGGGUGCCGGUUUCGGGGUGCCAGUUUCGGGGUGGAUGUUUUGGGGUGCCGUUUUGGGGUGCCGGUUUCGGGGUGCCAUUUCAGGGUGCCGGUUUUAGGGUUUGUGUUUUGGGGUGCAGGUUUUGUGGUGCCAUUUGGGGGUGCCGGUUUCGGGGUGCCGGUUUCGGGAUGCCGUUUUUGGGGUGCCGUUUUUGGGGUGCCGUUUUGGGGUGCAGGGCUCACCCUGCGCAUGAUGCCGAUGGCGGGGCAGCUGAGGAAGCGGGGGUAGCGAACCUCCUCGUUGACGAUGCUGUCGAACACCUCCUCCUCCUCGUCCCCCGGGAACGGCGACUGCGGGCGGCCACGCCAUGGGACCCCCCCCGGACCCC